Molecule: ribosomal RNA, 392 nt
Filed under: uncultured bacterium
Lineage: Bacteria
Description: bacterial SSU rRNA
Rfam family: Bacterial small subunit ribosomal RNA
Source: RNAcentral
AUUGAACGCUGGCGGCAUGCUUUACACAUGCAAGUCGAACGGCAGCACAGGGAGCUUGCUCCCGGGUGGCGAGUGGCGCACGGGUGAGUAAUACAUCGGAACGUGUCCUGUUGUGGGGGAUAACUGCUCGAAAGGGUGGCUAAUACCGCAUGAGACCUGAGGGUGAAAGCGGGGGAUCGCAAGACCUCGCGCAAUUGGAGCGGCCGAUGCCCGAUUAGCUAGUUGGUGAGGUAAAGGCUCACCAAGGCGACGAUCGGUAGCUGGUCUGAGAGGACGACCAGCCACACUGGGACUGAGACACGGCCCAGACUCCUACGGGAGGCAGCAGUGGGGAAUUUUUGGGACAAUGGGGGCAACCCUGAUCCAGCCAUGCCGCGUGCAGGAUGAAGGCC